This 26-nucleotide non-coding RNA is filed under the name Drosophila melanogaster (fruit fly). Lineage: Eukaryota; Metazoa; Arthropoda; Insecta; Diptera; Drosophilidae. The record is from RNAcentral.
UACGACUGCAAUUUCGACAGAGUCGC